AGCAGUCGCCACGGUAAUACGAAGGGUGCAAGCGUUAAUCGGAAUUACUGGGCGUAAAGCGCGCGUAGGUGGUUUGUUAAGUUGGAUGUGAAAUCCCCGGGCUCAACCUGGGAACUGCAUUCAAAACUGACUGACUAGAGUAUGGUAGAGGGUGGUGGAAUUUCCUGUGUAGCGGUGAAAUGCGUAGAUAUAGGAAGGAACACCAGUGGCGAAGGCGACCACCUGGACUAAUACUGACACUGAGGUGCGAAAGCGUGGGGAGCAAACAGGAUUAGAUACCCCCGUAGUCCCUGUCUCUUAUAC
RNAcentral lists this ribosomal RNA (303 nucleotides) under uncultured bacterium. RNAcentral describes it as "partial 16S ribosomal RNA". It matches the Rfam family "Bacterial small subunit ribosomal RNA", at positions 507 to 807 of the family's 1533-position model. The record is from RNAcentral.